Non-coding RNA from Triticum aestivum (bread wheat), 124 nucleotides. Lineage: Eukaryota; Viridiplantae; Streptophyta; Magnoliopsida; Poales; Poaceae. The record is from Rfam.
AAGUUACUCCCUCCGUUCGGAAUUACUCGUCCAAGAAACGAAUGUAUCUAGAUAUAUUUUAGUUAUAGAUACAUCCAUUUUAUCCAUUUUUGUGACAAGUAAUUCCGAACGGAGGGGGUACCUU